GGGUUGUGAGGUUAAGCGACUAAGCGUACACGGUGGAUGCCCUGGCAGUCAGAGGCGAUGAAGGACGUGCUAAUCUGCGAUAAGCGUCGGUAAGGUGAUAUGAACCGUUAUAACCGGCGAUUUCCGAAUGGGGAAACCCAGUGUGAUUCGUCACACUAUCAUUAACUGAAUCCAUAGGUUAAUGAGGCGAACCGGGGGAACUGAAACAUCUAAGUACCCCGAGGAAAAGAAAUCAACCGAGAUUCCCCCAGUAGCGGCGAGCGAACGGGGAGCAGCCCAGAGCCUGAAUCAGUGUGUGUGUUAGUGGAAGCGUCUGGAAAGGCGCGCGAUACAGGGUGACAGCCCCGUACACAAAAAUGCACAUAUUGUGAGCUCGAUGAGUAGGGCGGGACACGUGGUAUCCUGUCUGAAUAUGGGGGGACCAUCCUCCAAGGCUAAAUACUCCUGACUGACCGAUAGUGAACCAGUACCGUGAGGGAAAGGCGAAAAGAACCCCGGCGAGGGGAGUGAAAAAGAACCUGAAACCGUGUACGUACAAGCAGUGGGAGCACGCUUAGGCGUGUGACUGCGUACCUUUUGUAUAAUGGGUCAGCGACUUAUAUUCUGUAGCAAGGUUAACCGAAUAGGGGAGCCGAAGGGAAACCGAGUCUUAACUGGGCGUUAAGUUGCAGGGUAUAGACCCGAAACCCGGUGAUCUAGCCAUGGGCAGGUUGAAGGUUGGGUAACACUAACUGGAGGACCGAACCGACUAAUGUUGAAAAAUUAGCGGAUGACUUGUGGCUGGGGGUGAAAGGCCAAUCAAACCGGGAGAUAGCUGGUUCUCCCCGAAAGCUAUUUAGGUAGCGCCUCGUGAAUUCAUCUCCGGGGGUAGAGCACUGUUUCGGCAAGGGGGUCAUCCCGACUUACCAACCCGAUGCAAACUGCGAAUACCGGAGAAUGUUAUCACGGGAGACACACGGCGGGUGCUAACGUCCGUCGUGAAGAGGGAAACAACCCAGACCGCCAGCUAAGGUCCCAAAGUCAUGGUUAAGUGGGAAACGAUGUGGGAAGGCCCAGACAGCCAGGAUGUUGGCUUAGAAGCAGCCAUCAUUUAAAGAAAGCGUAAUAGCUCACUGGUCGAGUCGGCCUGCGCGGAAGAUGUAACGGGGCUAAACCAUGCACCGAAGCUGCGGCAGCGACGCUUAUGCGUUGUUGGGUAGGGGAGCGUUCUGUAAGCCUGUGAAGGUGUGCUGUGAGGCAUGCUGGAGGUAUCAGAAGUGCGAAUGCUGACAUAAGUAACGAUAAAGCGGGUGAAAAGCCCGCUCGCCGGAAGACCAAGGGUUCCUGUCCAACGUUAAUCGGGGCAGGGUGAGUCGACCCCUAAGGCGAGGCCGAAAGGCGUAGUCGAUGGGAAACAGGUUAAUAUUCCUGUACUUGGUGUUACUGCGAAGGGGGGACGGAGAAGGCUAUGUUGGCCGGGCGACGGUUGUCCCGGUUUAAGCGUGUAGGCUGGUUUUCCAGGCAAAUCCGGAAAAUCAAGGCUGAGGCGUGAUGACGAGGCACUACGGUGCUGAAGCAACAAAUGCCCUGCUUCCAGGAAAAGCCUCUAAGCAUCAGGUAACAUCAAAUCGUACCCCAAACCGACACAGGUGGUCAGGUAGAGAAUACCAAGGCGCUUGAGAGAACUCGGGUGAAGGAACUAGGCAAAAUGGUGCCGUAACUUCGGGAGAAGGCACGCUGAUAUGUAGGUGAAGUCCCUUGCGGAUGGAGCUGAAAUCAGUCGAAGAUACCAGCUGGCUGCAACUGUUUAUUAAAAACACAGCACUGUGCAAACACGAAAGUGGACGUAUACGGUGUGACGCCUGCCCGGUGCCGGAAGGUUAAUUGAUGGGGUCAGCGCAAGCGAAGCUCUUGAUCGAAGCCCCGGUAAACGGCGGCCGUAACUAUAACGGUCCUAAGGUAGCGAAAUUCCUUGUCGGGUAAGUUCCGACCUGCACGAAUGGCGUAAUGAUGGCCAGGCUGUCUCCACCCGAGACUCAGUGAAAUUGAACUCGCUGUGAAGAUGCAGUGUACCCGCGGCAAGACGGAAAGACCCCGUGAACCUUUACUAUAGCUUGACACUGAACAUUGAGCCUUGAUGUGUAGGAUAGGUGGGAGGCUUUGAAGUGUGGACGCCAGUCUGCAUGGAGCCGACCUUGAAAUACCACCCUUUAAUGUUUGAUGUUCUAACGUUGACCCCUAAUCGGGGUUGCGGACAGUGUCUGGUGGGUAGUUUGACUGGGGCGGUCUCCUCCUAAAGAGUAACGGAGGAGCACGAAGGUUGGCUAAUCCUGGUCGGACAUCAGGAGGUUAGUGCAAUGGCAUAAGCCAGCUUGACUGCGAGCGUGACGGCGCGAGCAGGUGCGAAAGCAGGUCAUAGUGAUCCGGUGGUUCUGAAUGGAAGGGCCAUCGCUCAACGGAUAAAAGGUACUCCGGGGAUAACAGGCUGAUACCGCCCAAGAGUUCAUAUCGACGGCGGUGUUUGGCACCUCGAUGUCGGCUCAUCACAUCCUGGGGCUGAAGUAGGUCCCAAGGGUAUGGCUGUUCGCCAUUUAAAGUGGUACGCGAGCUGGGUUUAGAACGUCGUGAGACAGUUCGGUCCCUAUCUGCCGUGGGCGCUGGAGAACUGAGGGGGGCUGCUCCUAGUACGAGAGGACCGGAGUGGACGCAUCACUGGUGUUCGGGUUGUCAUGCCAAUGGCACUGCCCGGUAGCUAAAUGCGGAAGAGAUAAGUGCUGAAAGCAUCUAAGCACGAAACUUGCCCCGAGAUGAGUUCUCCCUGACUCCUUGAGAGUCCUGAAGGAACGUUGAAGACGACGACGUUGAUAGGCCGGGUGUGUAAGCGCAGCGAUGCGUUGAGCUAACCGGUACUAAUGAACCGUGAGGCUUAACCUUACAACGCCGAAGCUGUU
This 2930-nucleotide ribosomal RNA is filed under the name Escherichia coli. RNAcentral describes it as "23S ribosomal RNA". It matches the Rfam family "Bacterial large subunit ribosomal RNA". Lineage: Bacteria; Pseudomonadati; Pseudomonadota; Gammaproteobacteria; Enterobacterales; Enterobacteriaceae. The record is from RNAcentral.